Molecule: ribosomal RNA, 254 nt
Filed under: uncultured bacterium
Lineage: Bacteria
Description: partial 16S ribosomal RNA
Rfam family: Bacterial small subunit ribosomal RNA
Source: RNAcentral
UACGGGGGGGGGCAAGCGUUGUUCGGAAUUACUGGGCGUAAAGGGCUCGUAGGUGGCCAACUAAGUCACACGUGAAAUCCCUCGGCUUAACCGGGGAACUGCGUGUGAUACUGGAUGGCUUGAGUUUGGGAGAGGGAUACGGAAUUCCAGGUGUAGCGGUGAAAUGCGCAGAUAUCAGGAGGAACACCGGUGGCGAAGGCGGUUCUCUGGGCAUGUCCUGACGCUGAGGAGCGAAAGUGUGGGGAGCGAACAGG